RNAcentral lists this ribosomal RNA (600 nucleotides) under uncultured bacterium. Its description in RNAcentral is "bacterial SSU rRNA". It matches the Rfam family "Bacterial small subunit ribosomal RNA", at positions 341 to 933 of the family's 1533-position model. The record is from RNAcentral.
UCGGGAGGCAGCAGUGGGGAAUAUUGCACAAUGGGCGAAAGCCUGAUGCAGCCAUGCCGCGUGUAUGAAGAAGGCCUUCGGGUUGUAAAGUACUUUCAGUUGUGAGGAAGGGGGUAACGUUAAUAGCGUUAUCUCUUGACGUUAGCAACAGAAGAAGCACCGGCUAACUCCGUGCCAGCAGCCGCGGUAAUACGGAGGGUGCGAGCGUUAAUCGGAAUUACUGGGCGUAAAGCGCAUGCAGGUGGUUCAUUAAGUCAGAUGUGAAAGCCCGGGGCUCAACCUCGGAACUGCAUUUGAAACUGGUGAACUAGAGUGCUGUAGAGGGGGGUAGAAUUUCAGGUGUAGCGGUGAAAUGCGUAGAGAUCUGAAGGAAUACCAGUGGCGAAGGCGGCCCCCUGGACAGACACUGACACUCAGAUGCGAAAGCGUGGGGAGCAAACAGGAUUAGAUACCCUGGUAGUCCACGCCGUAAACGAUGUCUACUUGGAGGUUGUGGCCUUGAGCCGUGGCUUUCGGAGCUAACGCGUUAAGUAGACCGCCUGGGGAGUACGGUCGCAAGAUUAAAACUCAAAUGAAUUGACGGGGACCCGCACAAAAGGG